Molecule: ribosomal RNA, 305 nt
Filed under: uncultured bacterium
Lineage: Bacteria
Description: bacterial SSU rRNA
Rfam family: Bacterial small subunit ribosomal RNA
Source: RNAcentral
CCUACGGGAGGCAGCAGUCGGGAAUAUUGCGCAAUGGAGGGAACUCUGACGCAGUGACGCCGCGUAUAGGAAGAAGGUUUUCGGAUUGUAAACUAUUGUCGUUAGGGAAGAAAAAAGACAGUACCUAAGGAGGAAGCCCCGGCUAACUAUGUGCCAGCAGCCGCGGUAAUACAUAGGGGGCAAGCGUUAUCCGGAAUUAUUGGGUGUAAAGGGUGCGUAGACGGGUGUUUAAGUUGGUUGUGAAAUCCCUCGGCUCAACUGAGGAACUGCAACCAAAACUGGAUAUCUUGAGUGUCGGAGAGGAA